GGUGAGGAACGCCAUGGCUGUGUCGAAGAACAAGGCCCCUGCUGGCACCAAGGUCACGCCUUCCAAUGGAAGGGGAAGCAGUGACAAAGGUGAAAAUCAUGGCGGUAACAGAAGUCAUUUACAGCGCGGAGUCUCCAACCCACAAUCACUGGGCAUCCCAUGGCUUUAAGAGCUCUGAAUGAUCAAUGGGAAAUAACUGCUAAGUCACCCAGCACAGAUUUUCGUCAUUACCUGUUCCUGCUCUGGACUCAGCCCCAGCCCUGGGGAGCUUCUAAACCAUGCGUUCAGCUCCUUCGGGACCCACUUGAUUACCCUGGAAACAGCAAGACAGCUCCAGCUCAAAAAUCAGAUGAUGCUAGGAUUUUUUCAUUUUUUAUUAUAAGAUUAAAGGGAAAAUGGUUACCCCUAUGGCUUGACAAACACAUAUAGUUUAUUUCAAAAAUGGGUAGCUGUGGGAAAGAAAGGAAUAUCUGAGCACAUGAUUUUAUCCAAUUAUGGCAAGAUUUAGUAUAAAUCAAAAACACCAAUCCUGAAUUCUUGUAGCUGAUUAGAUCUUCAUUCUUUCAUUCAUUGUAAUAGAAAUAGUGGCAGGAGCCCAUAGUGCCAGCUACCUUGGAGGCUGAGGCCGGAGGGUCCCCAGAGCCCAGGAGUUUGAGUCUAGUGUGGGCAAUAUAGUGAGACCCUGUCUCCUAAAAAAAUACAUAAUUUAAUGGACAGCUACUUUGUGCUGUGUUCUGUGCAAGGCACUAGUAUUGGAGAGUCCAUUGACAAUCAGAAAGAGAUCUUGUUCACAGAGGAGAGUAAUGAAUUAACAGAGGAAAUGAAUGUGUGUGGAUUGUUCUAAUACCAGAUAGAGGGCGGCAGCAAUGAUGGCAGAGGUUGACCUAGAAUGCUAUUGUUUCAAGAGAGGGAGAGUUUCCCUUGGCUUGAUGAUCCAAGGAAGACUUGUUGAAGAAAAU
RNAcentral lists this long non-coding RNA (959 nucleotides) under Pan troglodytes (chimpanzee). Its description in RNAcentral is "lncRNA (ENSPTRG00000053748.1)". Lineage: Eukaryota; Metazoa; Chordata; Mammalia; Primates; Hominidae. The record is from RNAcentral.